AACCUAGCACACCUGCGGUGUGUACCUGCGGAGGGAUCACUACCUAGAGUUGUAGGCUUUGCCUGCUAUCUCUUACCCAUGUCUUUUGAGUACCUUACGUUUCCUCGGUGGGUUCGCCCACCGAUUGGACAAACUUAAACCCUUUGCAGUUGAAAUCAGCGUCUGAAAAAACUUAAUAGUUACAACUUUUAACAAUGGAUCU
RNAcentral lists this unclassified non-coding RNA (202 nucleotides) under soil metagenome. Its description in RNAcentral is "partial contains 5.8S ribosomal RNA, internal transcribed spacer 2, and large subunit ribosomal RNA". The record is from RNAcentral.